Molecule: ribosomal RNA, 440 nt
Filed under: uncultured bacterium
Lineage: Bacteria
Description: partial 16S ribosomal RNA
Rfam family: Bacterial small subunit ribosomal RNA
Source: RNAcentral
CCUACGGGAGGCUGCAGUGGGGAAUAUUGCACAAUGGGGGAAACCCUGAUGCAGCGACGCCGCGUGAGUGAAGAAGUACUUCGUUAUGUAAAGCUCUAUCAGCAGGGAAGAAAAUGACGGUACCUGAGUAAGAAGCCCCGGCUAACUACGUGCCAGCAGCCGCGGUAAUACGUAGGGGGCAAGCGUUAUCCGGAUUUACUGGGUGUAAAGGGAGCGUAGACGGCAGUGCAAGUCUGGAGUGAAAGGCGCGGGCUCAACCCCCGGACUGCUCUGGAAACUGUACGGCUGGAGUGCAGGAGAGGUAAGUGGAAUUCGUAGUGUAGCGGUGAAAUGCUUAGAUAUGAGGAGGAACACCGGUGGCGAAGGCGGCUUACUGGACUGUAACUGACGUUGAGGCUCGAAAGCGUGGGGAGCAAACAGGAUUAGAUACCCGUGUAGUC